ACCAAUCAUUCUCAUUCAA
RNAcentral lists this transfer RNA (19 nucleotides) under Caiman crocodilus (spectacled caiman). RNAcentral's name for it is "partial tRNA-Thr". Lineage: Eukaryota; Metazoa; Chordata; Crocodylia; Alligatoridae. The record is from RNAcentral.